GGAGGGAUAGCUCAGUGGUAGAGUACCUGCUUACCAAGCAUGAGGCCCUGAGCUCAAUCCCCAGUACCACCA
Molecule: non-coding RNA, 72 nt
Organism: Dipodomys ordii (Ord's kangaroo rat)
Lineage: Eukaryota; Metazoa; Chordata; Mammalia; Rodentia; Heteromyidae
Source: Rfam